CGCCAAUAGUGUUGGACAAGCUGUAAAUAUGAUUUUACCAACAAAAUACGAAUGACCGUAUAUAAAUCCAGGUGUUGAAUAUUAUGUAGUGUUAACACUUAUCUGAGGUCUGAGAGGAUUGCUUCUUGCUCAUUGAGAAGCCGAUAUUAUGUUUGUUUGGAGGCUUCUAAGCAUUGAUCAUUCGGUUUGUCCUGCAGCGAAUUUGCUGUGUAAUGACCUACGAGAAGACGACCACGGCACAUCGAGGGCUAUGGAGUAAACAUGAUUAAGGGCGUGCUGUGGACGACGGUCGAUGAGUUGGAAAAUUAACGAAUUAACUGCCGCCGAUUUUGGAAUGGAAAGUGAACAGUGAAAAUAAUUACUGUCAACGAGCGCAUUCCGUUGGUAUAAUGUGCAACACGCGACCAAAAAUCUAUUUUGCGUGCCGGCCGUCUGAUAGAGUGGAAACUGUAAUACUUUGGUUAAUGACGAUUUCCAAUAAUAAUCGUUUGCGAGCUUCUACCGGUCUACCAUUUAAUAACCACUCCUUUGUCAACCUGUACACUUAAACGGUCGUGGCUAUUUGUGGACACGUUAUUUUAAUUAGACGUAUAUUCCAAAAGACCACGACGGGCUGCUGUCUACGUAGAAACCGGCGAAAUAUCAUGUGCUGCCCUCUACACUUGAAGAUCAACGUGAAGUUGAAGUUUUGCCGAACGAAAUGCCAUCUCUUGAACCCCAAAAACGUCCCGGAUUGACACUAACAGUCACAAAAUUGUGGAAUACAGCUACAUUUGUUAAACUAAUAAUAAUGAUAAUGUAUGAGUGAUUAUUAUAUUAUAUAAAUUAGAAAACAUAGGUUUUUUAUAUUAUCAGAUAAGUAAAACAUUAAUAUA
Molecule: long non-coding RNA, 875 nt
Organism: Adelges cooleyi (spruce gall adelgid)
Lineage: Eukaryota; Metazoa; Arthropoda; Insecta; Hemiptera; Adelgidae
Exons: 3
Source: RefSeq, a predicted model, not a curated record